Molecule: long non-coding RNA, 6393 nt
Filed under: Homo sapiens (human)
Lineage: Eukaryota; Metazoa; Chordata; Mammalia; Primates; Hominidae
Description: PREDICTED lncRNA (TCONS_00180670)
Source: RNAcentral
CUCUUCCUGUCUUCUGUACCCCAGCACACACACACACACACACCCAGCACACACUCACACACACCCAGCACACACACACACACACACACACACACACACACACACACACACAUUCUCUCUCUCUUUCUCCCCUUCCCCCUCCCAAUGCUUGUUGGCCUGGAAAAUUUCUUCCUUGAAGUCUCAGACCAAAGGAAGCCAAAGUGUCCCCAGCAGACUUAGGAACUGCUGGCCCAGUGCUCCCUACAUCUGUACCUUUCCCCACUAAAGUGGUGACCACACUGUUCUCAUCAGUUACAUGUCAGUGUCCUUACCUAACUGGGCUCCAGUGGCCAGGGCUGGAAUGUUUUUUGUCUACAUCUUGGAAACCAGCCUAGGGCCUAAGCCCACAGCACAUCCUCCGUAAGCACGGCUCGAAUGAAUGAAUGCACCAAUGAAGAAACCACAACUCAUCCUGGCAGGUCAGAGACAGCACAGCCUCAGGGACCCAGGGGUGAGUUAUUAAACUGGCAAAGACCAGAGCUACCAAACUUCGAGGUUAUCCAGUCUCAAACCGUUACUCUACUGAGAAUAAUAAGGUAAGGCUCAGAGAAGGGCACACAAGUUAGGUGCCAAGCCAGAACUCGACUCCAGGCUUUCUGGCUCUUGGCCUUGGGCUAAUUUCACUGCUUCAGCCCAAGAGAAGUUUAAAUCUGCUCUGUGUAACUGGGAGGCCCUGCUGGCAGUUCCAUCCCUAGCUCUUCAUUUCCCUCACUCCCACAUGAGAGAACCACUGUAGCCAACCUCACCAAGCCUCGGUUGCCGCAUCUUUCUAAUGGGGAAAAUCUGUGGGGACUCCCAGAGCUGCAGGAGGGCUCAGAGAGAUCAGGAUGUGAAGGCAGUGGUGUAGGGGGCGUGUUGGAAGCACUGGGCUCUGAGGUCAGCCAGAGCAGGGUCUGAAUCUCAGUUCUGCCCCUUGCUCCCUGUGUGACCUGGAGCAAGUGACCCUCCCUCUCUGAGCUUCACUUCAUCAUCUGUAAAAUGGACAGUAGGCGUCUAACUGCACCUGGGAGUGUGGAUCAAAUGCAAUUAGGUGGCGCCAUGCAGUGAACACAGAGCUGGGCAUGUAGUAGGCAUACAAUAAGUGCUGGUUAGCCAGCAUCAUUACCCCAGAGUGCUUUCCCUGCUUCGCUCCUCCUUCGCUCUACCAAGGACUUACCUGCCCCCUCCUGCCAGACGUGCUGUGUGUUGGUGACCUUUAGUUAGACAAGGUAAUUCCUGCCCAUGGCUUAAAGGUACCACACUACUCAGAUAACCAUGCUUGCCUGCUCACCCUCGGUGCCUUAACCACAAAGAGCAGCGAAAGGAAAUUCUGGGCUCAGCUGGGUGACUCACGCCUGUAAUCCCAGCACUUUGGGAGGCCAGGGCGGGCGGAUCACUUGAAGUCAGGAGUUGGAAACCAGCCUGGCCAACGUGGUGAAACCCCAUCUCUACUAAAAAUAUAAAAAUUAGCCAGGUGUGGUGGCACACGCCUGUAGUACCACAUACUCGGGAGGCUGAGAUGGCAGAAUCGCUUGAACCUGGGAGGCAGAGGUUGCAGUGAGCCGAGAUGGUGCCACUGCACUCCAGUCUGGGGGUAGAACGAGACUCUAUCUUAAUUUAAAAAAAAAAAAAAAAAAACGCCUGGCGUGGUGGCUCACACCAAUAAUCCUAGCACUUUGGAGGUCAAGGUGGGCGGAUUACCUGAGGUCGGGAGUUCAAGACCAGCCUGGCCAACAUGGUGAAACCCUGUCUGUACUAAAAAUACAAAAAAUUAGCCGGGUGCAGUGGCGCACGCCUAUAAUUCCAGCUACUCUGGAGGCUGAGGCAGGAGAAUCACUUGGACCCGGGAGGCAGAGGUUGCAGUGAGUAGAGAUGGUGCCACUGCACUCCAGCCUGGGCGAUAGAGCGAGACUCCGUCUUAAUUUUUUAAAAAAAGGAAAUUCUGAAGUGGAUGGGAAAGUUAGUGUUUCGACAACAGCCCCGCAACCUCCAUGCAUCCUGAUCUCCCUGAGCCCUCUCUGCAGCCCUGAGUCUCCACAGACUUUUUCCUAAUAGACAGAUGUGGCAACCGAGGCUCAGUAAGUUUGGCUACAACCCUUCUCUCAUCUGAGAAUGAGGAAAAUCAGCUCCUUUAUACCCCAAGCUGUGCGACCUCAGGCAAGUCAGCUCACCUCCCUGGGCCUCAGUCCCUUCAUCUGUAAAAUGGGCACACUGUCUCUGAGGUGCCCAGCCUAGUGCUGGACUCAGAGCCAACAGCGGUGAGUAAGAGAGUCAGCCUCUCAAAGAGAGAAGAGACCCCAUGAGCCAGCCUGUGGCUGCUGGAGAUGGCCAGGCCCCUUCUGUCCUGCUGUGAAGCGGGUGGGAGGGAGCGGGUCUCAGCUGCCUGCCCUUGUGGAAAACCCAGCCAGAGGCUUGAGUGUUUCCAGGCCUCUCUGGGCAGGGGAUGGGUUACGUAACGCCAGAUGUUUGUGAAACUGGCUCAGGCCCAGGUCUGAGACACACUUUGCAAUCCCAGAGCCACUUAUAAGCUCGCCUUCCCUUCCCCCAUACCUGGCUCCCCGUUGGCCCAGGGCUGGCGAGAGGCUGCUGAUUGGAAGCUUUCAGCUGUGUAGAUUAUUCCAUCACCCCUCACUCCAAAAGCUGAAAGCAGCCCCCAAGCCUGCCCCGGAAGUGGGAAACCCACUCGCUUGCUGAGACCAGGAUGAGCUUAAGAGCUCUGCUCCCACCUCUCCUGUCAUGCGACGGCCCUAGGUGCCUCCUCCUCAGCCCCCACUCUCUCUCCUUUGCUUAACAGCCCCCUCCUCCCUCCCAUCCCCGUCUCUAUCCACCCUCACCCCUCCAGUCCCCACUGGAGCCAGCCUACCCUUCGCCACCUGAGGACCCCCAGAGACAGCAGGAACGGAUUGAACAGCGUGGGCCGGUCCCCGGGCAUCCGCCAUGAGGUCACCAGUCGGCCCUUGAGCGGGCUCCCAGCCUUGCCCUCUGCUGGCCUCUUGUCUGCCUGUCAAACAGGGUCCAGUGUUGGCCCCAGGUCCCUUUGGCAGGAUGGGGGCACCCCUGGCUACAGCCUCCCCUGCCCAUUCUGUGGUGCCCCCCACCAUGGAGCCCCAGGGUUCCCAUCUUUCUCUCCUCCCAGAACUGCCGAGACGAGCUGGUUAACUUGUUCACACUACAUCGUGUUGGACUGACAAGGCUCCCAGGGCUCAGCACCUUUGAAGGUGUGCACGUCAUCACCCUAAAGUCAAACCACGGGCGCCAGCUGGAGGGGGUGCAGACCACAGAUGGGAAGACUGGACUGCUCGAAGUUACAGCACUGCCGUUCGAAGCCACGCAAGAAAUCGGGGCAGGGACGGGGGCAGCAUGGGUGCCAGGUGGAGGUGCAGAGAGAGCGCUGGGUGGUUCCUGGGCCCUGGGUUCUAGUCCCAGUCCAGCUAGCCACUGACUGUAUAACCUGGGACGACUCCCCUGCCUCCAUUUCCUCAUCUGCACAGUGAGGGUUUGGGCAGAAUUCCCCCAGCUUUGACUCACGGCAGGGCCCUACUUGGGGGGCGCUAUGCUGCCCAAUGGACGCUCCCUGCCACCCCUGGCUUCAGGAGGCAACGGGAGGAAGAGCAGGACCGGAAAACACAGCCCCAAACAGUCUGUCUCCUCCUCCCCCACCUCCCACUGCCCCACGGCCCUCAACUCUGAUCUCACCUCUCUGGAGGCUGAGGGUGACGAGAACAGUCUGUUUGGUAGGUCACGGGGAGGGGCGGGCAGAGUUGUGCUCACCAGCUGCAGCCAGGCCUCAGAGCAGCAUCCGUGGGUCCCACCCCCGCACAUAUCUCUCCCGCCUCCAGGACCCUGGAGACCCUCCAGGCCUGGCUGACUGGGUACAUCCUCAGCUCUCUGGCUCCUGCUCGUGGAAGCCCUGCUCUUUCAGCCUGGCCUGGCCCUUUCAAACCGGAAGGAUCUCUUCCCACAGAGACCACUGGGGCCAAACCAUCAUUUGCGCAGGGAAAGACAUUGACCUUUUCAGUCCCAGCAAAUGAGAAGCAUGGCCUAGGGUUCUGACCCCAGGAUCGCCCACCUACCCAGGUCCCCAAGCCAGAAGGUGGCUCCUGCAGAGCCCCUCUUCUUAAGGCCCCACCAUGCACAUAGAUGACCCCAUGGCAAUGCCAACUUUGGUCUGGUUGAUUCUAGGGCUCUUCUGAGGAAUGAAGCCCAUCUCCAACCUGCUUCCCCCUCCCUUCCCCACCGUAUGUACCCACACCCAUGACCCAGCUACCGAGUCUGCCUGCUUCUGGUCAGUCAGGGGGUCUUGGCCUCUGCUUGGUUCUGACUCCUCAGGCUCCUCUGGUUGGAACUGGAGAUUAAAAAAAGAACACAGCUUAGCCCAACUUAUUCUCCAGGAUGCAUGCAUCUGUCCACCUCAUCCAUCCAUUCUAUCAUCUGUCCAUGCAACACCCAUCUAACGUCCAGCAUCAGUAGAUCCAUGUAUCCAUCCAACCAUCCAGUGUCUAUCACAUGACUCACCCUCUCAUGUACCCAUCAUCCAUUGUCUAUCACCCAUUCAUGUAUCUACCCUCCAUUGAUCCAUCACAUAUCCAUUUACCCAAUACCUACAUAUCCCUCUCUCCAUCCAUCAUCCAUCUACCCAUAUCUCCAACAUCUAUCAUCUGACAUUCAUCCACCCAUGCCACAUCUAUCCAUUCAUAUUCCACCCAAAGUUCAUCCAUCCAUCACCUAAGCAACAUCCAUCAUAUAUCCACCACCACCAUAUAUUCAUCACCCAGCUAUCCAUCCAUCAUCACCCAUCUGUCAUCCAUCCAAAAGAUGUCUAUUAUUCAUUCAACAUGCAUCAUUGAUCCAUCAUCCAUUCACACAUUCACCCUCCAUUCAUUCAUUGUUCACCCACUGACCCCUGUGUCCUCCAUCUUGCAUGCAUCCACUGAGCUGUCCCCUCCUUUAUGUCAGGCCCUGGGCCAGAGCUAGAGUUACAGAGAUAAAGCAGGUAGAGAUCCUGCCUGUGUGGAGCUUAUGGGGAAAUGACAACCCUAUUAGAUGGAUGUUGCAUGGACAAAUGGAAGCAAAACUGCCAAGCCCAGAAGGGGACCAUUACUAGGAGUGACUGUUCAGGGAAGGCUUCUCAGGACAGGGAGCCUGACCUAAGACUUCGACAAUGAACAGGCGUUUGGUGGCUGAACAGGGAAGAGCAUGUGCAAAGGCAGGGAUAUGUGCUCACAGGCCCUGCAGCCAGCUCAGCACCAAUGAGGCAAAUCCGGAGUGGAAGGAAGGGAAGCCGGCCUUGAGUGCCAUGCCAAGGAUUUUUUUUUUUUUUUUUUUUGAGAUGGAGUCUCGCUCUGUCACCCAGGCUGGAGUGCAGUGGCGUGAUCUCGGCUCACUGCAACUUCCACCUCCCGGGUUCACACCAUUCUCCUGUCUUAGCCUCCCAAGUAGCUGGGACUACAGGCACCCGCCACCACGCCCGGCUAAUUUUUUGUAUUUUUAGUAGAGACGGGGUUCCACCGUGUUAGCCAGGCUGGUGUCGAUCUCCUGAGCUCGUGAUUUGCCUGCCUCAGCCUCCCAAAGUGCUGGGAUUACAGAUGUGAGCCACUGCACCCAGCUGUGCCAAGCCAAGGAUUUUCAUAGAGAGGAGCAGCUGGAGCCCCAGCAGGACCUGGUGGUUACUCGUUUUGUCAUCUGUGAAAUUCCUUUCAGUACAUGGUGCUCCCAUCCCUUCCCAGCCACCAUCUCCUAGCCUCCUGAGAACCCUGAGCUUCACCAUGAAACUGAAGAAUCUUUCUAACUUCCUUCUUGACCUGGCCGGCCUGUGGCACCCAGCAUGCCCCGGGACACAGCACCGUGUCCUCCUUGAGCUGUCUGUGUGCCUUCCUAACAAGCCUGACAGCAAUCUGAGGGCAGGACGAGCUGACUUAUCCCUGCUUCUCUGAUGUCCACGCAUUGAGUUGAUUGGAGGGUCAACUCAUCAAAGCCACAGGGAAAUACAGGGGAGAGGGUUCUCCAGUCCUCCCAUGGGCUCAGGAGCUUUGUGACGUGGUGGCUAAAAGCACAGACUUAGGCCGGGCAUGGUGGCUCGCACCUGUAAUCCCGGCACUUUGGGAGGCCAAGGUGGAUGCAUCACCUGAAGUCAGGAGUCCAAGACCAGCCUGACCAACAUGGAGAAACCCCAUCUCUACUAAAAACACAAAAUUAGCCGGGCAUGGUGGCACAUGCCUGUAAUCCCAGCUACUCGGGAGGCUGAGGCAGGAGAAUAGCUUGAACCUGGGGGGCGGAGGUUGCAGUGAGCUGAGAUUGUGCAAUUGCACUCCAGUCUGGGCAACAAGAGCGAAACUCCGUCUCAAUAAGUAAAUAAAUAAAUAAAAAUAAAAGCAC